Lactuca sativa (garden lettuce) is the source of this 4646-nucleotide non-coding RNA. The record is from RefSeq and is a predicted model, not a curated record. NCBI's taxonomy places the organism in Eukaryota, Viridiplantae, Streptophyta, Magnoliopsida, Asterales, Asteraceae.
UUUCUACCGAUUUCACACAUUUUUCACGUUCUAUUAGGAUUUUAUACUUACCUCCAUUAACAGAUUCUUUCAAAAACACAUAUACUCAUUUUCGCGCAUCUCCUUCAAUAAGAUUUUCCACUGCCUUUCACUACUGCCAACAUUUGCUUCCAAUCUGGUCCCUCCACCGCCGCUAGCCACCUUUUCUACUUCAUCUUUGGAGAUUCUUCUGUUCCAUUUCUUGCCGACUUUCGACCGUUCUUUCCCACCUCCGCCAUCCCUUACUUAUGUCGGUACAAUAAAUCUCUUCCAUCAUCUUCUAAAUCAACUACGCUUCCACCUCACAUACCAAACCCCCCUGCUUAACGUUGUUCCUCUAAACCCCUCUCAUACUCAAAUUCCCCUUGACUUGGAGUAGACGGGAUUUCCGAGAAACGAUCAUCCCUUACUGUGCUCGCCUCUGCUUUCUCCCCAACCACCAUCGAAUCUAUUAUAUUCAUGUUCCUUGAUCUCCACCAGAAUUCUAUACCCAUUCCAAAUUCCACCAAAAACAGAUGCAUUUCGCAACCACGGUUAGCGUUUCUGUUGCAAUAUGUUGGUAUAUGGUGCUCAAAAGGGAGGAGUGGACAGAGACUAUGCAGAGAAAACUAUCAUCCUGCUUUCCUUGCCACCUGCUUCUCUCUUCCCCUUACUUAAACUUAAUUGGGUUCCGUUCAUUUUGGACAAGACAUUAAGAAGGUACCUACCUAUGUAGCCUCCAUGCUAUACCAAGAAAACACUUCAGUUAUACCCACCCACCAACUGCUCGACAAAAUGUCCGGACCAUAUUUUUUUAAUUUUUUUUCAAAUAUAUGAUUCAUGGAUUGAAGAACUUUGAUUCCUUAUGCCUACGACAAUACAGAGACAAGUUUUACUAAUUCUAUUCUCUUCAAUUCUUGGCUAUAUAUAUUCACCACAUUUGGAUUAUGCUCCAUUAAGAUGAGUUCAUUUUGCCCAUGGACUACUUCUCUUCUUGUACCAGGUUCCUUUUAGAUAUAUUAACCUCGGAAUCAGUUGUUAUAACUUUUGGUAUAAAGCUUCAUUGAUUUACUUCCAAAUUUCUCUGUGCUGUAUGUUCUCUUUAAUCCUCAAUUUUUCUACUCCUUUCUUAAGUGAUAUAUUCAAUUUAUAAUUUCUUGAUUUGUAAUUGAGUUGGAGGCUUUGGCCUUUGGAAGCACUGCUAUGUGUGGAAGAAUAAGUUUUGGUUUUGGGUAAUUUCACAUGUUCCAUUAUAUUAUCAAAUAUACGUUUUCUGUGACUUUAUGUUGGCCAAGAGUGUGACUUUACCAUAAUGCCCUUUUAUUAUAAGUUGGUUAUUUCUCAUCACAAUUGCAAUAUUUGACUUACAUGUAAGCUAAGAACAUGGUUUGGUUAUUUGUCAGUGUAUCUACACAUCAUUCAACAAAGACACAAUAGGGAAAUCUCAUGAAGACCAUUCACUAGAAUCGUUUUUUUUUUUUGUUGGAGCAAAAGGGACCGCAGAUUGAAUGACUAGAUUUGGGAUGAUGGGAACUCACUUGGACCUAAAGAGGUCCACAAUUAUCUCACUAGGGUCAUAUACAAUCGCCACAACAAGUUUAACCUUUAUGAUAUUCCAUUAUAAUUGGUGGAGUAAAAAACGGCCACAAAUAUCUAGGAUCGGUGAGUAUGAUCGGUGUACAUUUUGAGGACGAUCAUGUGGUAACUAGAUUUGGGAAUCACCUGCCACUCCCAAUACUUCCUGAGGAAUGGAGGGGGGGUUUGACUUUUUAGGAGGGUGUCAAAAUAAGCUUCAGUUAGCAAAGAUCACGGAUGAAGUGUCGUUUUCAGCCUAGUUAAAUAGAAUGCAGGUAUUAUGUUCUUAAGUUCAUAAGUUCAUGAAAACGGUUAUUGAUGAAGGACUUGAAGUGUUGAAUAACAAAUUUUGGAAGAAGAAUGAAUAUACAGAUGUCGAGCUUGAUACAGUGCGUGAAGAAUGGGAAACUUAUGCCAUAAACUUUAGGGUAAAUUAUACAAAUAGUCCCUAUGGUUUGAAGUAAUCUGCAUGGUUGGUCCCUAAGAAGUGUUUUUAACUAAGAAUGUCCCUAUUAUUUCUUUUUGUUACGUUUUUAGUCCCCGUUUGACCUAAAAUGACCUUUUUACCCUUAUUAAUUUCUUUUUUUAUUUGCUUAUCAUUUACUAUUUUAUAAUUUAACAAAUACAACCAUUGGGUCCUACCUACCUGAAAUCCCGUCCACCUAAUCCAUCCACCCCCACCCCCCCAUCCCUCAUCGCCCUCUUCGUUGAGUCCUUCACCUCCAGCAACCCACUACCACCUCUUUUAUUUUCUUCGUCAAGAUCACCGACAUGUCCUGCCCCAAAAAAACAGAUACAAGUGUUGCCCCAAAAAAUCUCAAAUAUAAUCAACUGACAAAUAUAGUCGAUAUACAGAGUAACAAAUUUCAGUGAGCAGCUUUUCAAUAAUCAAAAGAAAUGUUAUUCCCUCUCUUCUCUCAUACCCUUCCUCCCUUCCCCUUUAUUCUCUACCUACCUGCAACUCCCCUAUUGAUUAAAUAUUAUAACUAAAGAACAAAAAAAAAACAUUUCUCCAACCAUGCCAAAUUAGAAGAAACACACAAUCGAAAUUGAUUUUACCCUUGGUGAUGACGAUGGUAUAUUGCAAGUAAGGGGAGGUUCUCUUUCGACAUAAAAAAUAUGGAUUGUUGUCGAAACCUAUCGACAUUGAGAUGCCGAAAUAACCACCAUAUGCACUUUGAACUCAUCGGUUUGCAACAUCUGGUUUGUUUUAGGGAUUCAGGUGGCUUUCGAGUUAUUUUUUGAAAAACAUUGGUGGGUUUUGAUUAGGCGCUCUGGUUUUGUUUGAUGCUUUGGUUUGAUGUGUAGUAGUCUCGAUUUGACUAUUGGCAUAGGAUUUGAAAACAAGAUUUCAUCAAAGUUAAGGUUUAGAUGCUUAGGAAGAAGAUGGGGUAAGUGUAUUUUUCUGACCACCACCACUCCAUCGUUCGAUUGCAGAUCGAAGAUACACCGAAGUUGAGAUAGAGAUACGAUGCAGCAGGUGAACCAGAGAUGAGAUGAGAGAAGCUUGAUGAUGUGAAGUUGAAAAAUGGUUGGUUCGCCGGAACAAUCCAAGACAACAACAUCUAUUUGUGGGUUCUUUCCAUCUUGAUUGACUUGAGAAACAAAGAGUUCAGAAGAAAAAGAUAGGUUGGCUAGGGGUAGGUGGGUACGGUGGUGGUGGGUUUUUUUUUUUCCUUUUUUCUUUUAAUUAUAAAAUAAAUGAUAAGUAAAUAAAAAAGAAACUAAGGGUAAAAAAGUCAUUUUAAAUCAAAUAGGGACUAAAGACGCAACAAAAACAAACAAUAGGGAUCUUCCGAGUUAAAAAAAACUUUUUAGGGACCAACCAUGCAAAUUACCCGAAACCACAGGGACCAUUCGUGUAAUUUACCCUAAACUGACAAUUACUUUUUGAUGAAGUUGGAAUGUAUUUUUGAAGUUGAUACUAGGGAUGAGAUUUAGAACCGGAAAACCGGACCGGAACCGGAACCGAACCGGAACCGGACCCGUUAGAACCGGAAUAUAUAGAACCGGGUCCGGUUCCGGGUUUAAAAAUUGGCUUUAUCCGGGUUUCGGGUAAUCCGGGUUUGGGUCCAUUGGGUCCGGGUAAACCGGGUCUAAAAUCCGGAACCGGUUUUUGGAACUGGAACCACUUUUAGGGCCGGAACCACUUUUUGUGAAACGUUUAGAAGAUGCAUAUCUUAUUCGUUUCAACUCCAAUUGACACACGAUUUUUUCCAACAUGUAGUUUAGAGUUUGUACAUGAUUCUAGACUAUAAAUUUUUCAUUUUUAGUUUUAUAUUCAUUGACUUACAGUCCUCAAAAGCUGAGAUACCAAAGCUGAAAGUUUUUAGUUUUUUAGUUUUUUUAUAUUCGGUGAAAGUUUUAAAGCAUGCAUAUCUAAUUCGUUUGAAGUCGGAUUGACAUGUGGUUUUUUCCAACUUCUAGUUUACAGUUUGUACAUGAGUUUAGACUAUAAUUUUGUCAUUUUUGGUUUAACAUUCAAUGAUUUACAGUCCUCCGAAGUCGGGAUAUCAAAACUGAAAAUUUUCAACUUUUCAGCUAUUUGUUUUUGUACUUUGUAUUAUGUGAAAAUAUUAACACAAGUAUAUCUCAUUCGUUUAAAUUCGGAUUGACAUGCGGAUUUUUCCAGAGUGUAUUUUAGAGUUUGUACAUGAUUUUAGACUCUAAUUUUGUUAAUUGUGGUUUCGUAUUCAAUAAGGUACAGCCCCCCAAAGUGGGGAUAUCAAUAUGAAAAUUUUCAAAGUUCAACCCACUAAGUUGUAAGUAAUUACCAAAAAAUUCCGGUUUUUUCGGGUUUUCCGGGUCUAAACCCACUUUAUCCGGUUCCAACCUACCCACUUUGAUGUUUCCGGGUUUUACGGUUCUAGACCCACUUUACCCGGAACCAUACCCGGAACCGAACCGGAACCGGUUCCUAUAUACCGGUCCGGUUUCCGGUUCUAUAAAAUCCCGUUAACCGGUUCCGGGUUUUCCGGGUCCGGGUCCAUUGGGUCCGGGUUUGGACCCACUUUCAUCCCUAGUUGAUACUAUUGUUCGUGUAAUUUAGACUAUAAGUUUUUAAUUUAGUUUGA